GUGAAUCAUCAAAUUUUUGAACGCAAAUUGCACUCUCUUCGGAGAGUAUGCCUGUUUGAGGGUCAGCCUAAAUAAAAUCGACAUAGUCGCUGUUUCGUGGUGAUAUUGGUCGGAACUUGGCUCAUCUUAAACCUUUUGGUUUUAAGCGGAUUAAAAUUUUCUUUACGAUUCCACGAACGUUUCUAAGAUUUAUUUACGCGUUUAUGGUAUCGAUCUUUAUUAGAUGUUGCCUUUGCACCGGAUG
RNAcentral lists this unclassified non-coding RNA (244 nucleotides) under Glomus sp. RNAcentral describes it as "partial contains 5.8S ribosomal RNA and internal transcribed spacer 2". The stretch from base 1 to 65 matches the Rfam family "5.8S ribosomal RNA", at positions 84 to 154 of the family's 154-position model. The record is from RNAcentral. Lineage: Eukaryota; Fungi; Glomeromycota; Glomeromycetes; Glomerales; Glomeraceae.